CAGGCUUAACACAUGCAAGUCGAGGGGCAGCAUCAUCAAAGCUUGCUUUGAUGGAUGGCGACCGGCGCACGGGUGAGUAACACGUAUCCAACCUGCCGACAACACUGGGAUAGCCUUUCGAAAGAAAGAUUAAUACCGGAUGGCAUAGUUUUCCCCGCAUGGGAUGACUAUUAAAGAAUUUCGGUUGUCGAUGGGGAUGCGUUCCAUUAGGCAGUUGGCGGGGUAACGGCCCACCAAACCGACGAUGGAUAGGGGUUCUGAGAGGAAGGUCCCCCACAUUGGAACUGAGACACGGUCCAAACUCCUACGGGAGGCAGCAGUGAGGAAUAUUGGUCAAUGGACGAGAGUCUGAACCAGCCAAGUAGCGUGAAGGAUGACUGCCCUAUGGGUUGUAAACUUCUUUUAUACGGGAAUAAAGUUAGCCACGUGUGGCUUUUUGUAUGUACCGUAUGAAUAAGGAUCGGCUAACUCCGUGCCAGCAGCCGCGGUAAUACGGAGGAUCCGAGCGUUAUCCGGAUUUAUUGGGUUUAAAGGGAGCGUAGGCGGGUUGUUAAGUCAGUUGUGAAAGUUUGCGGCUCAACCGUAAAAUUGCAGUUGAUACUGGCGACCUUGAGUGCAACAGAGGUAGGCGGAAUUCGUGGUGUAGCGGUGAAAUGCUUAGAUAUCACGAAGAACUCCGAUUGCGAAGGCAGCUUACUGGAUUGUAACUGACGCUGAUGCUCGAAAGUGUGGGUAUCAAACAGGAUUAGAUACCCUGGUAGUCCACACAGUAAACGAUGAAUACUCGCUGUUGGCGAUAUACAGUCAGCGGCCAAGCGAAAGCAUUAAGUAUUCCACCUGGGGAGUACGCCGGCAACGGUGAAACUCAAAGGAAUUGACGGGGGCCCGCACAAGCGGAGGAACAUGUGGUUUAAUUCGAUGAUACGCGAGGAACCUUACCCGGGCUUAAAUUGCAACUGACUGAACCGGAAACGGUUCUUUCUUCGGACAGUUGUGAAGGUGCUGCAUGGUUGUCGUCAGCUCGUGCCGUGAGGUGUCGGCUUAAGUGCCAUAACGAGCGCAACCCUUAUCGAUAGUUACUAGCAGGUCAUGCUGAGGACUCUAUUGAGACUGCCGUCGUAAGAUGUGAGGAAGGUGGGGAUGACGUCAAAUCAGCACGGCCCUUACGUCCGGGGCUACACACGUGUUACAAUGGGGGGUACAGAAGGCAGCUACACGGCGACGUGGUGCUAAUCCCGAAAGCCUCUCUCAGUUCGGAUUGGAGUCUGCAACCCGACUCCAUGAAGCUGGAUUCGCUAGUAAUCGCGCAUCAGCCACGGCGCGGUGAAUACGUUCCCGGGCCUUGUACACACCGCCCGUCAAGCCAUGAAAGCCGGGGGUACCUGAAGUACGUAACCGCAAGGAGCGUCCUAGGGUAAAACUGGUGAUUGGG
RNAcentral lists this ribosomal RNA (1432 nucleotides) under uncultured organism. RNAcentral describes it as "16S ribosomal RNA". It matches the Rfam family "Bacterial small subunit ribosomal RNA". The record is from RNAcentral.